GACGAACGCUGGCGGCGUGCCUAAUACAUGCAAGUCGAGCGCAGUGGGGACGGGUGAGUAACACGUGGGUAACCUCCCAUCAGAGGGGAUAACACUUGGAAACAGGUGCUAAACCCAUACUGAUGGAUGGACCCGCGGUGCAUUAGCUAGUUGGUGAGGUAACGGCUCACCAAGGCCACGAUGAAUAGCCGAUCUGAGAGGGUGAUCGGCCACACUGGGACUGAGACACGGUCCAGACUCCUACGUGAGGCAGCAGUAGGGAAUCUUCGGCAAUGGACGAAAGCCUGACCGAGCAACGCCGCGUGAGUGAAGAAGGCUUUCGGAUCGUAAAGCUCUGUUGUUAGAGAAGCGGUAUCUAACCAGAAAGCAACGGCUAACUACGUGCCAGCAGCCGCGGUAAUAC
RNAcentral lists this ribosomal RNA (403 nucleotides) under uncultured bacterium. RNAcentral describes it as "partial 16S ribosomal RNA". It matches the Rfam family "Bacterial small subunit ribosomal RNA", at positions 28 to 526 of the family's 1533-position model. The record is from RNAcentral.